GAAUCAUGCAUUAGUAUUGACUGGUACAUGCAUAUUUUUCUUUUCAUUUGUUGAAUCCAAUCUUCUUUAGUAUUAUUUAACAACUCCUCGCAAGAUUGCUUCUCUCUUCCUAAGAUUUGAGUAAUGUGCCUGACAUGUUAGCAUGGAUAUCUUUAACAGAUGGUGGUGAAGUUUUUAUCCUUGGUGGUGAUCGCCAUGGAGUGCUUAGUGAUCUUGAGAAAAUAAACCUGCAGAAGCAUUUAGGUGGUAGUCCACAACCUUGAUCAUACUAGAAAUAUUUUUAAGUACACAUGUUUAGCAAAAACUUUUUUCCCCUUUUGACACAUUCUGCUAUCAAACUUGGGGAAGUAGUUUUUGCAUUCUCAUCUGCUGCAUCAUAAUAAGCAAGUGUCUGUUAAUUACAAUCCUCUGUCAUUAAAAAACUGAAGUUGCCUAGCCAAUGAUGCAAUGCAAGCGUAUGAUCAUCCUGCUAAUAUUCAUGGCAUUUGCCUCAUAUUCUGAUAUAUGGUAAUCUCUCCAUUUCACAUUCCAACAGAUUCAACUCAUGCUGUUUUGAAUAGUGUCUCUGGUCUCGAUGGGACAAAAGUUGUGGAGAUUGCAGCUGGAGCAGAGCAUUCUGCUUUAUUG
Molecule: unclassified non-coding RNA, 627 nt
Filed under: Hevea brasiliensis (rubber tree)
Lineage: Eukaryota; Viridiplantae; Streptophyta; Magnoliopsida; Malpighiales; Euphorbiaceae
Source: RNAcentral